Molecule: ribosomal RNA, 253 nt
Filed under: uncultured prokaryote
Description: partial 16S ribosomal RNA
Rfam family: Bacterial small subunit ribosomal RNA
Source: RNAcentral
GCGUAGGGUGCGAGCGUUAAUCGGAAUUACUGGGCGUAAAGCGUGCGCAGGCGGUUUCGUAAGACAGAGGUGAAAUCCCCGGGCUCAACCUGGGAAUGGCGCUUGUGACUGUCAGGCUAGAGUAUGUCAGAGGGGGGUAGAAUUCCACGUGUAGCAGUGAAAUGCGUAGAGAUGUGGAGGAAUACCGAUGGCGAAGGCAGCCCCCUGGGACGUCACUGACGCUCAUGCACGAAAGCGUGGGGAGCAAACAGGA